GGAGUUGCUCUUGAUUUAAGGUCCCCCAAGACCCCAACGCAUGUUGAAAGGACGAGAGCGCGGUGGAUUUGUAUUUUGGAGGGAAUAUGAAAUACUGAAAAUUGUCGAGAGAGAGGGAGAGGACGAAGAGUGAGAAAUCUGAAAUAGUAGGACUGUAGAGAGAGAGGGGGAAGAAGAGAGAGAGAGAGAGAGAGAGAGAGAGAGAGAGAGAGAG
RNAcentral lists this long non-coding RNA (214 nucleotides) under Amborella trichopoda. Its description in RNAcentral is "long non-coding RNA (ATRI_LNC004118)". The record is from RNAcentral. Lineage: Eukaryota; Viridiplantae; Streptophyta; Magnoliopsida; Amborellales; Amborellaceae.